This 70-nucleotide transfer RNA is filed under the name Salmo salar (Atlantic salmon). It matches the Rfam family "tRNA". From Rfam's summary of the family: Transfer RNA (tRNA) molecules are approximately 80 nucleotides in length. Lineage: Eukaryota; Metazoa; Chordata; Actinopteri; Salmoniformes; Salmonidae. The record is from Rfam by way of RNAcentral.
CCCCGUGUGGCCCAGUUGGUAGAGCAUGGUGUUUGCAACGCCAGGGUUGUGGAUUCGAUUCCCACGGGGA